Molecule: non-coding RNA, 29 nt
Filed under: Rattus norvegicus (Norway rat)
Lineage: Eukaryota; Metazoa; Chordata; Mammalia; Rodentia; Muridae
Source: RNAcentral
UGGAAACAGCCCUGCCACGAGGAAGACUU